AGUGAACGCUGGCGGUAGGCCUAACACAUGCAAGUCGAACGGCAGCACAGUAAGAGCUUGCUCUUACGGGUGGCGAGUGGCGGACGGGUGAGGAAUACAUCGGAAUCUACUUUUUCGUGGGGGAUAACGUAGGGAAACUUACGCUAAUACCGCAUACGACCUACGGGUGAAAGCAGGGGAUCUUCGGACCUUGCGCGAUUGAAUGAGCCGAUGUCGGAUUAGCUAGUUGGCGGGGUAAAGGCCCACCGAGGCGACGAUCCGUAGCUGGUCUGAGAGGAUGAUCAGCCACACUGGAACUGAGACACGGUCCAGACUCCUACGGGAGGCAGCAGUGGGGAAUAUUGGACAAUGGGCGCAAGCCUGAUCCAGCCAUACCGCGUGGGUGAAGAAGGCCUUCGGGUUGUAAAGCCCUUUUGUUGGGAAAGAAAAGCAGCAGGUUAAUACCCCGCUGUUAUGACGGUACCCAAAGAAUAAGCACCGGCUAACUUCGUG
RNAcentral lists this ribosomal RNA (492 nucleotides) under uncultured bacterium. RNAcentral's name for it is "partial 16S ribosomal RNA". It matches the Rfam family "Bacterial small subunit ribosomal RNA", at positions 29 to 507 of the family's 1533-position model. The record is from RNAcentral.